GGGAGGAAGGACGACACCCUCCGCUCCCUGUGAUGGACACUGCCACUGGGAAGGGAGACCGGUUGUCUCCUCCACCUGAAACUCACACUGCUGCUGGGGAGUGAGACCGACCGCCUCCACUCCCAGUAACUCCUGCUGCUGCUGGGAAGAGAGACCGACCAUCUCCUCUCCCUGUGUUGCCCACUGCCACUGGAAAGUGAGACCGACCGUCUCCUCUCCCUGAAACUCAUGCUGCUG
This is a non-coding RNA of Pelobates cultripes (western spadefoot toad), 237 nucleotides long. The record is from the annotation of a GenBank genome assembly. Lineage: Eukaryota; Metazoa; Chordata; Amphibia; Anura; Pelobatidae.